This 492-nucleotide ribosomal RNA is filed under the name uncultured bacterium. Its description in RNAcentral is "partial 16S ribosomal RNA". It matches the Rfam family "Bacterial small subunit ribosomal RNA", at positions 29 to 507 of the family's 1533-position model. The record is from RNAcentral.
AGUGAACGCUGGCGGUAGGCCUAACACAUGCAAGUCGAACGGCAGCACAGUAAGAGCUUGCUCUUACGGGUGGCGAGUGGCGGACGGGUGAGGAAUACAUCGGAAUCUACUUUUUCGUGGGGGAUAACGUAGGGAAACUUACGCUAAUACCGCAUACGACCUACGGGUGAAAGCAGCGGAUCUUCGGACCUUGCGCGAUUGAAUGAGCCGAUGUCGGAUUAGCUAGUUGGCAGGGUAAAGGCCCACCAAGGCGACGAUCCGUAGCUGGUCUGAGAGGAUGAUCAGCCACACUGGAACUGAGACACGGUCCAGACUCCUACGGGAGGCAGCAGUGGGGAAUAUUGGACAAUGGGCGCAAGCCUGAUCCAGCCAUACCGCGUGGGUGAAGAAGGCCUUCGGGUUGUAAAGCCCUUUUGUUGGGAAAGAAAAGCAGCAGGUUAAUACCCCGCUGUUCUGACGGUACCCAAAGAAUAAGCACCGGCUAACUUCGUG